CAAGUCGCACGAGAAAGCGGGAGCAAUCUCGCAAGUACAGUGGCGUACGGGUGAGUAACACGUGGAUUAUCUGCCCUGGAGUGGGGAAUAACGCUGGGAAACCGGCGCUAAUACCGCAUAUUCCCGAGAGGGGAAAGCAGCAAUGCGCUCGAGGAGGAGUCCGCGGCCGAUUAGCUAGUUGGCAGGGUAAAAGCCUACCAAGGCUGUGAUCGGUAGCCGGCCUGAGAGGGCACACGGCCACACUGGCACUGAAACACGGGCCAGACUCCUACGGGAGGCAGCAGUGGGGAAUCUUGCACAAUGGGGGAAACCCUGAUGCAGCGACGCCGCGUGAGCGAUGAAGCCCUUCGGGGUGUAAAGCUCUUUCGGCAGGGAAGAUUAUGACGGUACCUGCAGAAGCAGCUGCGGCUAACUACGUGCCAGCAGCCGCGGUAAUACGUAGGCAGCAAGCGUUGUUCGGAGUUACUGGGCGUAAAGGGUGUGUAGGCGGCCUGUUAAGUUCCGUGUGAAAUCUCCCGGCUCAACCGGGAGGGUGCGCGGAAAACUGGCGGGCUAGAGUGCGGGAUGGGAGAGUAGAAUUCCUGGUGUAGCGGUGAAAUGCGUAGAUAUCAGGAGGAAUACCGGUGGUGUAGACGGCUCUCUGGACCGCAACUGACGCUGAAACACGAAAGCGUGGGUAGCAAACAGGAUUAGAUACCCUGGUAGUCCACGCCCUAAACGAUGCAUAUUUGGUGUAGGUCAUUCAGUUGAUCUGUGCCGGAGCUAACGCGUUAAAUAUGCCGCCUGGGGAGUACAGUCGCAAGGCUGAAACUCAAAGGAAUUGACGGGGGCCCGCACAGCGGUGGA
RNAcentral lists this ribosomal RNA (846 nucleotides) under uncultured Bacillota bacterium. RNAcentral describes it as "bacterial SSU rRNA". It matches the Rfam family "Bacterial small subunit ribosomal RNA", at positions 58 to 936 of the family's 1533-position model. Lineage: Bacteria; Bacillati; Bacillota. The record is from RNAcentral.